GAUGAACGCUGGCGGCGUGCCUAAUACAUGCAAGUCGAGCGAACAGAUGAGGAGCUUGCUCCUCUGACGUUAGCGGCGGACGGGUGAGUAACACGUGGAUAACCUACCUAUAAGACUGGGAUAACUUCGGGAAACCGGAGCUAAUACCGGAUAAUAUAUUGAACCGCAUGGUUCAAUAGUGAAAGACGGUUUUGCUGUCACUUAUAGAUGGAUCCGCGCCGCAUUAGCUAGUUGGUAAGGUAACGGCUUACCAAGGCAACGAUGCGUAGCCGACCUGAGAGGGGGAUCGGCCACACGGGAACUGGGACACGGUCCAGACUCCUACGGGAGGCAGCAGUAGGGAAUCUUCCGCAAUGGGCGAAAGCCUGACGGAGCAACGCCGCGUGAGUGAUGAAGGUCUUCGGAUCGUAAAACUCUGUUAUUAGGGAAGAACAAAUGUGUAAGUAACUAUGCACGUCUUGACGGUACCUAAUCAGAAAGCCACGGCUAACUACGUG
This 497-nucleotide ribosomal RNA is filed under the name uncultured bacterium. RNAcentral describes it as "partial 16S ribosomal RNA". It matches the Rfam family "Bacterial small subunit ribosomal RNA", at positions 28 to 507 of the family's 1533-position model. The record is from RNAcentral.